GCGUCGACGGGUAGCCGGCCUGAGAGGGUGACCGGCCACACUGGGACUGAGACACGGCCCAGACUCCUACGGGAGGCAGCAGUGGGGAAUAUUGCACAAUGGGCGAAAGCCUGAUGCAGCAACGCCGCGUGAGGGAUGACGGCCUUCGGGUUGUAAACCUCUUUUAGUAGGGAAGAAGGGCUUCGGCUUGACGGUACCUGCAGAAAAAGCACCGGCUAACUACGUGCCAGCAGCCGCGGUAAUACGUAGGGUGCGAGCGUUGUCCGGAAUUAUUGGGCGUAAAGAGCUCGUAGGCGGUUUGUCACGUCUGCUGUGAAAUCCCGAGGCUCAACCUCGGGCCUGCAGUGGGUACGGGCAGACUGGAGUGCGGUAGGGGAGAUUGGAAUUCCUGGUGUAGCGGUGGAAUGCGCAGAUAUCAGGAGGAACACCGAUGGCGAAGGCAGAUCUCUGGGCCGUAACUGACGCUGAGGAGCGAAAGCGUGGGGAGCGAACAGGAUUAGAUACCCUGGUAGUCCACGCCGUAAACGUUGGGCGCUAGAUGUGGGGACCAUUCCACGGUUUCCGUGUCGUAGCUAACGCAUUAAGCGCCCCGCCUGGGGAGUACGGCCGGCCAGGCUAAACUCAAAGGAAUUGACGGGGGGCCGCACAAGCGGCGGAGCAUGCGGAUUAAUUCGAUGCACGCGAAGAACCUUACCAAGGCUUGACAUAUACGAGAACGCCGCAAAAUGUGGAACUCUUUGGACACUCGUAUACAGGUGGUGCAUGGUUGUCGUCAGCUCGUGUCGUGAGAUGUUGGGUUAAGUCC
RNAcentral lists this ribosomal RNA (805 nucleotides) under Agromyces cerinus. Its description in RNAcentral is "bacterial SSU rRNA". It matches the Rfam family "Bacterial small subunit ribosomal RNA", at positions 273 to 1087 of the family's 1533-position model. The record is from RNAcentral. RNAcentral also lists the same sequence under 1 other name. Lineage: Bacteria; Bacillati; Actinomycetota; Actinomycetes; Micrococcales; Microbacteriaceae.